UACGGAGGGGGCGAGCGUUGUCCGAAGUUACUGGGCGUAAAGCGCGCGUAGGCGGGUUGGUAAGUCCGCUGUGAAAGCCCGGAGCUCAACUCCGGAGGGUCGGUGGAUACUGCCAGUCUUGAAGGUGCUAGGGGGAGAUGGAAUUACCGGUGUAGCGGUGAAAUGCGCAGAUAUCGGGAGGAACACCGGUGGCGAAGGCGGUUCUCUGGGCCUGUACUGACGCUGAGGAGCGAAAGCGUGGGGAGCGAACAGG
Molecule: ribosomal RNA, 253 nt
Filed under: uncultured bacterium
Lineage: Bacteria
Description: partial 16S ribosomal RNA
Rfam family: Bacterial small subunit ribosomal RNA
Source: RNAcentral